AUUGUCUGGCUGCAGAGGUGCAGGUAAAGUAUUACUAGUGCAGGUAACUUGUAUUGUCUGGUUGCAGAGGUGCAGGUAAAGUAUUACUAGUGCAGGUAACUUGUAUUGUCUGCUGCACCCAGCAGCAUGACUUGUAUAAAUACUCCAU
This is a long non-coding RNA of Haliotis rubra (blacklip abalone), 148 nucleotides long. RefSeq lists it as uncharacterized. The record is from RefSeq and is a predicted model, not a curated record. Lineage: Eukaryota; Metazoa; Mollusca; Gastropoda; Lepetellida; Haliotidae. The transcript is spliced from 3 exons.